This 570-nucleotide long non-coding RNA is filed under the name Elaeis guineensis (African oil palm). RNAcentral's name for it is "long non-coding RNA (EGUI_LNC055633)". The record is from RNAcentral. Lineage: Eukaryota; Viridiplantae; Streptophyta; Magnoliopsida; Arecales; Arecaceae.
CCGUGGAAGCCCGGAUGGAGACCGCUUAUUGUAGAAGCUCGGCUGAAGCCCGCCUGUAAUAGAAGUUCGGAAGGAAUUCAUUUACAGUAGAAGCUCGGAUGGAAUUCGCUUACAGUAGAGAUCCGACUGGUAGAGUCUGUCUCAUUGUAGAAGUUUGGAGUAGAGACCCGUCUGGUGGAGCCUGUCUCGUUGUAGAAGUUCAUCUGUGAUCCAUCCACUGUGGAAGUUUAGCCGGGAUCCAGCUCUUGUUAGGAGCUCGGAUGAAAUUCGAAAGGCGGUCGACCAUCGUAGAAACUUGGAAGGAGUCUGGUUAUUGUAGAAAUCCUGCUGUCAAAGAAGCUCGGACAUUGACGAAGUCUGAAAGAAGUUUGGAGUAAAGUCAUCCGUGGCCGGAAGAAGUCUGAAAAAAAUUUAGAGAAUAGUCGAUCACUAUAGAAAACCAGCUGAUAGCGAAGCUCAGAAAGCAUUUGAAGCAGCUCGGUAGAUGAAUGGAGUAGCUCAUUAUCGGAGAAGUCCGGAUAUUAUUAUGGAAGCUCGGACGGUCGGGGAAGUUCAGAAAGACGCUGCACA